This 253-nucleotide ribosomal RNA is filed under the name uncultured bacterium. Its description in RNAcentral is "partial 16S ribosomal RNA". It matches the Rfam family "Bacterial small subunit ribosomal RNA", at positions 524 to 776 of the family's 1533-position model. The record is from RNAcentral.
UACGAAGGGGGCUAGCGUUGUUCGGAAUCAUUGGGCGUAAAGCGCGCGUAGGCGGCCCGGUAAGUCCGUUGUGAAAGUCAAAGGCUCAACCUUUGAACGCCGAUGGAUACUGCCGGGCUAGAGUCCGGAAGAGGCGAGUGGAAUUCCUGGUGUAGCGGUGGAAUGCGCAGAUAUCAGGAGGAACACCAAUAGCGAAGGCAGCUCGCUGGGACGGUACUGACGCUGAGGCGCGAAAGCGUGGGGAGCGAACAGG